AGAAGCAGCUUUUGCUUUGCACACCCGAUUUUGGGUCUGUAGCUCAGUUGGUUAGAGCGCACCCCUGAUAAGGGUGAGGUCGGCAGUUCGAAUCUGCCCAGACCCACCAGUUACCUGGUGAAGUUGGUCAGAGCGCGUACGACACCCGGAUACGGGGCCAUAGCUCAGCUGGGAGAGCGCCUGCCUUGCACGCAGGAGGUCAGCGGUUCGAUCCCGCUUGGCUCCACCACUUACUGCUUCUGUUUGAAAGCUUAGAAAUGAGCAUUCCACCCCGAGAGAUUGAAGGGUGCGUGAAUGUUGAUUUCUAGUCUUUGAUUAGAUCGUUCUUUAAAAAUUUGGGUAUGUGAUAGAAAGAAAUAUAGACCGGGCACCUCUUUCACUGGUGCGUGUCCGGGCUAAGGUAAAGUUUGUGAAAUGCAAACUUUCGG
This 428-nucleotide transfer RNA is filed under the name Pseudomonas syringae. RNAcentral describes it as "partial 16S-23S ribosomal RNA intergenic spacer". The stretch from base 33 to 106 matches the Rfam family "tRNA". The record is from RNAcentral. Lineage: Bacteria; Pseudomonadati; Pseudomonadota; Gammaproteobacteria; Pseudomonadales; Pseudomonadaceae.